Molecule: ribosomal RNA, 497 nt
Filed under: uncultured bacterium
Lineage: Bacteria
Description: partial 16S ribosomal RNA
Rfam family: Bacterial small subunit ribosomal RNA
Source: RNAcentral
GAUGAACGCUGGCGGCGUGCCUAAUACACGCAAGUCGAGCGAACGGACGAGAAGCCUGCUUUUCUGAUGUUAGCGGCGGACGGGUGAGUAACACGUGGAUAACCUACCUAUAAGACUGGGAUAACUUCGGGAAACCGGAGCUAAUACCGGAUAAUAUUUUGAACCGCAUGGUUCAAAAGUGAAAGACGGUCUUGCUGUCACUUAUAGAUGGAUCCGCGCUGCAUUAGCUAGUUGGUAAGGUAACGGCUUACCAAGGCAACGAUGCAUAGCCGACCUGAGAGGGUGAUCGGCCACACUGGAACUGAGACACGGUCCGGACUCCUACGGGAGGCAGCAGUAGGGAAUCUUCCGCAAUGGGCGAAAGACUGACGGAGCAACGCCGCGUGAGUGAUGAAGGUCUUCGGAUCGUAAAACUCUGUUAUUAGGGAAGAACAUAUGUGUAAGUAACUGUGCACAUCUUGACGGUACCUAAUCAGAAAGCCACGGCUAACUACGUG